UACGUAGGGGCCUAGCGUUGUCCGGAUUUAUUGGGCGUAAAGAGCUCGUAGGCGGCUAUUCAAGUCAGAGGUGAAAGCCCGGGGCUCAACCCCGGAACUGCCUUUGAAACUAGAUAGCUAGAAUCACGGAGAGGUAAGUGGAAUUCCGAGUGUAGAGGUGAAAUUCGUAGAUAUUCGGAAGAACACCAGUGGCGAAGGCGGCUUACUGGACGUGAAUUGACGCUGAGGUGCGAAAGCGUGGGGAGCAAACAGG
RNAcentral lists this ribosomal RNA (253 nucleotides) under uncultured bacterium. RNAcentral's name for it is "partial 16S ribosomal RNA". It matches the Rfam family "Bacterial small subunit ribosomal RNA", at positions 524 to 776 of the family's 1533-position model. The record is from RNAcentral.